AUUGAACGCUGGCGGCAUGCUUUACACAUGCAAGUCGAACGGUAACACGCCUUCGGUUGCUGUCUAGUGUCGAACGCGUGCGUGAUGCAAAGGAACGUAUCCCGUGGCUGUGGAUAACGCAGCGCAAGCUGUGAUAAUACCGCAUGCGAGCUGAUAAUGAAAACGGCGUAGUGCACAGCAAUAUUUCGCCUUGCGCCUUUGUAACGGCCGGUGUCGGAUUAGCUAGUUGGUGAGGUAAAGGCUUACCAAGGCGACGAUCCGUAGCUGGCCUGAGAGGACGACCAGCCACACUGGGACUGAGACACGGCCCAGACUCCUACGGGAGGCAGCAGUGGGGAAUUUUGGGCAAUGGGCGAAAGCCUGAUGCAGCAAUGCCGCGUGCGUGAAGAAGGUCUUCGGGUUGUAAACCGCUUUUAGCAGGAAAGAAACGGUGUGCGAGAAUACCGGCAGGUAAUGACGGUACCUGAACAGUAAGCACCGGCUAACUACGUG
Molecule: ribosomal RNA, 492 nt
Filed under: uncultured bacterium
Lineage: Bacteria
Description: partial 16S ribosomal RNA
Rfam family: Bacterial small subunit ribosomal RNA
Source: RNAcentral